This 325-nucleotide unclassified non-coding RNA is filed under the name fungal sp. Its description in RNAcentral is "partial internal transcribed spacer region". The stretch from base 1 to 46 matches the Rfam family "Eukaryotic small subunit ribosomal RNA", at positions 1786 to 1831 of the family's 1831-position model. Lineage: Eukaryota; Fungi. The record is from RNAcentral.
AAGUCGUAACAAGGUUUCCGUAGGUGAACCUGCGGAAGGAUCAUUCAUGUGAAUCUAAAAAACACACCUUUGUGAACUUAGUAAAUAUGACUGCUUGCUUUUUUUCAUAUAUGGUUUUAUGUUUUUGUGGGCUGCGUUAUUUCUAUUUGCUGAGGGGUUUUUGUUAGUUGCUUUGUCUGAAUUGCAACCGAUAAAAACUCUCUAGUGUAAAAAUGAAAAAUGCUACCUAAAAUUGUCUUACUAAAAGUUUUAUAAAAUUCUUUACCAAAACAAAGUGUAUAUAAACAUUUAUUACAACUUUUAACGAUGGAUCCCUCGGCUCUCA